UUCGCAAUGCCCGAAAGGGUGACGAGGCGACGCCGCGUGCGGGAAGAAGGCCUUCGGGUUGUAAACCACUGUCGGGAGUUAGGAAGUGCAAGAAUGUUAAUAGCGUUCUUGCUUGACUAAGGCUCCGGAGGAAGCCACGGCUAACUCUGUGCCAGCAGCCGCGGUAAUACAGAGGCGGCAAGCGUUGUUCGGAAUUAUUGGGCGUAAAGAGCACGUAGGCGGCUAUGUAAGUCGGUUGUGAAAGCCUUCCGCUCAACGGAAGAACAGCAUCCGAUACUACAUGGCUUGAGUGUGGGAGGGGAGAGUGGAACUUCUGGUGGAGCGGUGAAAUGCGUAGAUAUCAGAAGGAACGCCGGCGGCGAAAGCGGCUCUCUGGCCCAUAACUGACGCUGAGUGUGCGAAAGCUAGGGGAGCAAACGGGAUUAGAUACCCCGGUAGUCCUAGCCGUAAACGAUGGGCACUAAGUAGAGGGGUUUU
This 477-nucleotide ribosomal RNA is filed under the name uncultured bacterium. RNAcentral's name for it is "bacterial SSU rRNA". It matches the Rfam family "Bacterial small subunit ribosomal RNA", at positions 365 to 832 of the family's 1533-position model. The record is from RNAcentral.